RNAcentral lists this non-coding RNA (48 nucleotides) under Schistosoma mansoni. Lineage: Eukaryota; Metazoa; Platyhelminthes; Trematoda; Strigeidida; Schistosomatidae. The record is from RNAcentral.
AUCCAUCUGACGCGUCCCAAAUAGGACGAAACGCGCGUCAAACUGGAU